GAUGAACGCUGGCGGCGUGCCUAAUACAUGCCAGUCGAGCGAACGGACGAGAAGCUUGCUUUUCUGAUGUUAGCGGCGGACGGGUGAGUAACACGUGGAUAACCUACCUAUAAGACUGGGAUAACUUCGGGAAACCGGAGCUAAUACCGGAUAAUAUUUUGAACCGCAUGGUUCAAAAGUGAAAGACGGUCUUGUUGUCACUUAUAGAUGGAUCCGCGCUGCAUUAGCUAGUUGGUAAGGUAACGGCUUACCAAGGCAACGAUGCAUAGCCGACCUGAGAGGGUGAUCGGCCACACUGGAACUGAGACACGGUCCAGACUCCUACGGGAGGCAGCAGUAGGGAAUCUUCCGCAAUGGGCGAAAGCCUGACGGAGCAACGCCGCGUGAGUGAUGAAGGUCUUCGGAUCGUAAAACUCUGUUAUUAGGGAAGAACAUAUGUGUAAGUAACUGUGCACAUCUUGACGGUACCUAAUCAGAAAGCCACGGCUAACUACGUG
This 497-nucleotide ribosomal RNA is filed under the name uncultured bacterium. RNAcentral describes it as "partial 16S ribosomal RNA". It matches the Rfam family "Bacterial small subunit ribosomal RNA", at positions 28 to 507 of the family's 1533-position model. The record is from RNAcentral.